GACGAACGCUGGCGGCGUGCCUAACACAUGCAAGUCGAACGGAAGUUAGAGCUUCGGUUUUAACUUUAGUGGCGAACGGGUGAGUAACGCGUGAGAAACCUGCCUUUCAGUGGGGGACAGCAGUUGGAAACGACUGCUAAUACCGCAUAAUGUUAUUGGGGCAUCCCCGAAUAACCAAAGAUUUAUUGCUGAAAGAUGGUCUCGCGUCUGAUUAGCUAGUUGGUGAGGUAACGGCUCACCAAGGCGACGAUCAGUAGCCGGUCUGAGAGGAUGAACGGCCACAUUGGGACUGAGAUACGGCCCAGACUCCUACGGGAGGCAGCAGUCGGGAAUAUUGCGCAAUGGAGGAAACUCUGACGCAGUGACGCCGCGUAUAGGAAGAAGGUUUUCGGAUUGUAAACUAUUGUAGACAGGGAAGAUACAAGACAGUACCUGUAAAGUAAGCCCCGGCUAACUAUGUG
Molecule: ribosomal RNA, 461 nt
Filed under: uncultured bacterium
Lineage: Bacteria
Description: bacterial SSU rRNA
Rfam family: Bacterial small subunit ribosomal RNA
Source: RNAcentral